AUGAAUGCUCAAAGUCCCUUCCAGACUGUGACAGGGUAUACCAAGCUCAGAGGCCUGCUGCUGGAGGCCUCGUGUCCUACCACACCAUGCCCCAGGAAAAGAGCAGUAGAAGUGAGUCUUCCAACCUGUGCAGAACAGCUGUGGGGAAGUAGCCAAUUGGAGAGAGAUUGCAGAGAUCAGCCAAUCAGAGUACAGCAAGUUCAUAUAAAAGGAGCUGUUGGACAGAGCACAUUCAGUUGUUGGCUGGAGCAAGAGGAACAAAAUUGGUACUCCUGGCUGGAUGCAGGGAUUCAAGAAAGACUUUGGCCCUGAGCAGGUCCAAAUCUGGACUGGUUCACAGCCACGUCCUCUCCAGUCUGUACCCCAAGUACUGCAGCUCUCAGAUCACCAUUAAACCUCCAGGGACAGGAAACAGCCAAUGGAGGAUGACAGCUACUAAUGUGUGUUGGGACACACUGGAAAUGGACCCAGGCUCAGCUAUCUUUGAUUCCAUGGCUACCUCAGGCAUUGCCAGCAUGAUGAAAAUAUCUCUGCACCUCUUCCUUCUCCAUGAGUUGCAUCUGUUUAUACCAAUAGUGAAUUUGGCUCUAGUACUUAACCGUAAUAUGAUUAAAGUAAUUAAAUACCCAGAAAACACAUUGUAUCACUGGAAUUAAGAUUACAACUAUGUAUUAAUACAAGACAUGACAAGAACUUUGUAAUUAUCAAAAAAUAAACAUUGGAAACCAG
Long non-coding RNA from Chelonia mydas (Green sea turtle), 729 nucleotides. RefSeq lists it as uncharacterized. Lineage: Eukaryota; Metazoa; Chordata; Testudines; Cheloniidae. The transcript is spliced from 3 exons. The record is from RefSeq and is a predicted model, not a curated record.